GCAGGACAAGGGCCGCUUCUGCCUCACCUACGAGGCCUCCAUGACGCGGCUCUUCCGCGAGGGCCGGACGGAGACCGUGCGCUCCUGCACCUCCGAGUCGACCGCCUUCGUGCGGAGCAUGGGGGACGCCGGGCAGAGCGUGAGCACCGCGCCGCCACAUGCCCCUCGCGCUGCACCUUGACCCAAAUCCCUGUCCUUUUGGGUGUCCCCUCCCCUUGGGGACAUCCCCGUCUCCAGCAGAGGCCCCUGCCCCUCGGGGAGGUCCCCGGAGGCAGCACCCGUCACCGCAGGAGGGCCCUGACCCCGAUGGAGGUCCCUGUCCCUUGGGGAUGUCCCCAUCCCUUGGGGAUGUCCCCGUCCCUUGGGACCAUUUCCCCAGAGCCGCGGAGCCGCUGCCAGCCUCAGGCAGGACAGAGGACGUCCCCCCCCGCACAGCGCACCCCGGGGUGGGCAGGUUUUGGGGUGUGCCAGCCCCUGAGCUCGGCUUUCCCCGCAGCGUGCCGAGCGCCAGCGGCUCUUCAAGCUGGCGGCGGAGAAGCACCAGCACAUGUACCGCAUGGCCAUGACCGGCGCCGGCAUCGACCGGCACCUCUUCUGCCUCUACGUGGUGUCCCGAUACCUGGGGGUAGAGUCCCCCUUCCUGGCACAGGUCGCCGACGAUGGCUACGGCGUCUCCUACAUCAUUGCUGGCGAGAACCUCAUCACCUUCCACGUCUCCAGCAAGUACUCCAGCCCCGAGACGGUGAGGGCUGAGGCUGGGGGCUGGGGGUCCCCGGGGCGGGGGGGGGGGGGGGGGGGGGCCCCCCCGGGGGGCGGGGGGGGGCCCCCCCCCCCCAACCCCACGCAGUGCUGAGCCUCACUGCAUCCCAGUCCCUCUCCGUGGGACCCCGACCACGCUCCAGGCUCACGGAGCUGCCUGUGUAGGACC
RNAcentral lists this long non-coding RNA (928 nucleotides) under Anas platyrhynchos platyrhynchos (common mallard). Its description in RNAcentral is "lncRNA (ENSAPLG00000026618.1)". The record is from RNAcentral. Lineage: Eukaryota; Metazoa; Chordata; Aves; Anseriformes; Anatidae.